This is a long non-coding RNA of Paramisgurnus dabryanus, 1644 nucleotides long. RefSeq lists it as uncharacterized. The record is from RefSeq and is a predicted model, not a curated record. Lineage: Eukaryota; Metazoa; Chordata; Actinopteri; Cypriniformes; Cobitidae.
UUUUGUCCCCUGUGAACCUAUGUGUAACUUUUUUUAAUUGAUGCACGAGGGUUAAAAUCACAAGAAUGUUGUGAAAUAGUAAAUUUCCACAUUCCAGAUAUCCACAACAAUUUUAGGUUUAAGUUCCAAAAAAGAAAGAGAGGCAUUGGGGGUUAUAAUGACAGUUUUCAUUUUUGGGUGGACUAGCCCUUUAAAUAGGCCUAAUUAUUCCUGUAAGAAAUACACUUAUUCCCAAAGGGCUACGUAAACACCCCCACCUGGUUUGGAUUAUUCCAGUAAAUCCAGUGAAAACAAUAAGACAGCUCAAGCAAGCAUUUUAGUACGUGUGGGACUACUGGAAUCUGGAAAUUCCCAGCUGUCGCUCACUUCCUGAAAUCAUGACGUCGCGCGGUCGUCGCGCGCAUUCUCCACCUCGGCUUUACCAGAUAAACAAGGAAGUUCAUCUCUACCCGAAGAAACAAGAGAAAAGUCCCAAAUCAAAGUCCAGAAAACCAAAUGGAUAUCAGCGAGACUCUGCCUUCCGGUGGGAAUAAAGAAACGAGUGAGCCUUUACUUUCCCCCGAUCAGCACGGUGACAAUGAAUAUCCUUCGAAACAGAUGUAUCCCGACAUUCCCACCUAUCCGCCACCGCAGUAUGGAGCUCCAGUGGUUCACUAUAACCAUGGGCCGCCGUUUCCAGGAUACCAGGUGGUCACUAUGCAGCCAACAGUUAAUGUGACUCCUCCGCUGCGUGAACCACUGCCAGAUUACCUGUGCUACUCCGUCUUUACCAUGAUGUGCUGUUGUUUACCUCUGGGCAUUGCUGCCCUGGUUUACUCCAUUACAACUCGAGAUUCAAACCUGUUCGGACAGCGACAAGUUGCAGAGAAAAGCUCCAAAAUGGCACGCAUGCUUAACCAUGUCAGUCUUGGAAUUGGCUUGACAGUAUAUUUGUUGGUUAUCGGCUUUUUUAUUUAUGUUUGGAUCACAUUUGCACGAUUUAGACAUUACUAAACAUGAACACUAAAUACAGUGUUUAAAAUAUAUUUUUACAAGCAUUUGUAAACAAUUGAUAUUCAGCAUAAAAAGUUUUUUUUUUAAGAUGCCAAAGAAUGCAUUGAAAUAAUAUGUUAAAUUGUUCUCUGAUAUCUACAUAGCAGGUAUUUGGCUGGUCACUUUACCUUUAUGUUUGUUGAAAAACAACUAACAUUUCCUGCAAAAUCUGACCUGACAACUCAAAUUUUAAAUCAGUAUUAUAUUCUUACCGGUGUGUAUGGUGGUAAGGAAAGAAUUUUUGAACAGUUUGAAACACUGAUGUACUUAUGUACUUGCUCAGUUAAUGUUUAUUUUUUUAGCCAGUUACAGAUUUAAAUAAUCUGCAAAAAUGAUGUAAAUGAUACGGCUGUACUUAUUGCCGCUGGGGAUUAAUACCUAAUAUUUUUUAUAAAGAUGUUUUGAAUGAAUGCUGUAAUUGUCAAACUAAAUGUAUCAUCAUUUGAAAUGUUUUUUAAUAUAUUUUAACACCAUAUUAUACAUGCUUAGAAUAGGAUGAAAUACACAUUUAUUCUGCAUUAAUUCGAAUCAUAUGCUUGCUGUCAUAUUUUUUAGAAAAGUGCAAAACUAUUGACUAUUUUACAUAUUAAAGUGGAUUUUCUGUUUUCUCUC